GAUGAACGCUGGCGGCGUGCCUAAUACGUGCAAGUCGAGCGAACAGACGAGGAGCUUGCUCCUCUGACGUUAGCGGCGGACGGGUGAGUAACACGUGGAUAACCUACCUAUAAGACUGGGAUAACUUCGGGAAACCGGAGCUAAUACCGGAUAAUAUAUUGAACCGCAUGGUUCAAUAGUGAAAGACGGUUUUGCUGUCACUUAUAGAUGGAUCCGCGCCGCAUUAGCUAGUUGGUAAGGUAACAGCUUACCAAGGCAACGAUGCGUAGCCGACCUGAGAGGGGUGACCGCCCACACUGAACCUGGACCAGGCCCCGACCCCUGGCGGGGGCAGCAGGGGUGCAUCCGCCGGCAGGGGGGGAAGCCCGGCGGGGCCACGCCCGGGUGAGUAAGAAGGGUUUUGGUUCCUAAACACCUUUUUUUUGGGAAAAAAAAAAUGUGAAAGAACAUGUGCAGUUUUGCCCGCUCCUUAACAGAAACCCCCGGCCCACCCCCGCC
RNAcentral lists this ribosomal RNA (498 nucleotides) under uncultured bacterium. RNAcentral's name for it is "partial 16S ribosomal RNA". It matches the Rfam family "Bacterial small subunit ribosomal RNA", at positions 28 to 509 of the family's 1533-position model. The record is from RNAcentral.